AAGUCGUAACAAGGUUUCCGUAGGUGAACCUGCGGAAGGAUCAUUAAAAGUAAACUUGCGCAUGCGUGUAUACGUGGUGUGCAUUCGUCGUUGUCGAGCAGCUCUCUUUGAGGGAGUGUGGUUAGACGCGACACCGUUCCGUGUUAUUGUUUGAAACUUGGCGAGUGCAGCGCGCACACCAUCAUCAUGCUGAUGCUGAUGCUGAUGCUGAUGCUGAUAGUGGUGGGGUGUGGCGGCUCGUCAAAGAUGUAUCUGCCAAAAUUCUUGUUAAUGUACCUAGUUUUUAUUGUGUGUUUAAUACACGUAACAACUGUUAGCAAUGGAUCACUUGGUUCUC
Molecule: unclassified non-coding RNA, 337 nt
Filed under: fungal sp.
Lineage: Eukaryota; Fungi
Description: partial internal transcribed spacer region
Rfam family: Eukaryotic small subunit ribosomal RNA (bases 1-46)
Source: RNAcentral